AGAGAGAGACAUGCGCGCAUAUCAAUAAGCGGAGGAAAAGAAACUAACAAGGAUUCCCUUAGUAACGGCGAGUGAGGCGGGAAGAGCUCAAAUUUGAAAUCUUCAAGGUUUUACCUUGACGAAUUGUAGUUUAAAGAAGUGUUUUCUGCUGAAGUUUUGGUAAAAGUUCUUUGGAAUAGGACAUCAUAGAGGGUGAGAAUCCCGUAUUUGACCAUUAUUUUCAGCUUUGUGAUACACUUUCAAAGAGUCGGAUUGUUUGGGAAUGCAGUCCAAAAUGGGUGGUAAAUUUCAUCUAAAGCUAAAUAUUGGCGAGAGACCGAUAGCGAACAAGUACCGCUGAGGGAAAGAUGAAAAGAACUUUGAAAAGAGAGUUAAACAGUACGUGAAAUUGUCAAAAGGGAAGCGCUUGACACCAGUGUUGUUUUCUCGAAAAUCAAUUAAAAAUGGCUCGAUUUUGUAUUGCUGAGACCUUAAAAGCUCACUGUACAUUUUUCGUGUCUUUUUUAAUGCACUUUUCGUUUAACAAGUCAACAUCAGUUUCUUUUGCUGUAAAAGGGUCAUUGGAAGGUGGCUUUCUUUUCGGAGAAAGUGUUUAUAGCCUUUGGCCUCUGCAAUCGGAGAGACUGAGGUCUGCAGCGUAGACUCUUCGGGGUUAGGUACAUUUGUGCUAAGUUAUAGCUUUUUAUAGACAACUUGUUGACUAUAAUUAGUCUUGUAGCUUACUCGCUUAUGCUAUUUUACCUACGCUUAGGAUGUUGAAGAUGUAGCACAUCAU
RNAcentral lists this ribosomal RNA (775 nucleotides) under uncultured Neocallimastigales. Its description in RNAcentral is "partial large subunit ribosomal RNA". It matches the Rfam family "Eukaryotic large subunit ribosomal RNA", at positions 23 to 634 of the family's 3401-position model. The record is from RNAcentral. Lineage: Eukaryota; Fungi; Neocallimastigomycota; Neocallimastigomycetes; Neocallimastigales.